This 115-nucleotide small RNA is filed under the name Haloechinothrix halophila YIM 93223. RNAcentral describes it as "Amycolatopsis halophila YIM 93223 Actinobacteria sRNA Ms_IGR-7". It matches the Rfam family "Actinobacteria sRNA Ms_IGR-7". Lineage: Bacteria; Bacillati; Actinomycetota; Actinomycetes; Pseudonocardiales; Pseudonocardiaceae. The record is from Rfam by way of RNAcentral.
CAGAAAGGUGCUCCUCGAACUCGCGAAAACUCGGGCCUCGACAAUCCGAAUUAUCGCAGCUCGGAGCACCUUUCUUCUUUAUCGACCCGACCCGCCAACCACAUCACCGUGAAAG